CGGGGUGCAGCAGGCGCGAAAACUUUACAAUGCUGGCAACAGCGAUAAGGGGACCUCGAGUGCCAGGAUACAAUCUUGGCUGUCGCGAUGCCUAAAAAGCAUUGCAUAGCAAGGGCCGGGCAAGACCGGUGCCAGCCGCCGCGGUAACACCGGCGGCUCGAGUGGUAACCGCUAUUAUUGGGUCUAAAGGGUCUGUAGCCGGCCGGAUAAGUCUUUUGGGAAAUCCAGCUGCUCAACAGUUGGGCUUUCAGAAGAUACUGUUCGGCUCGAGACCGGGAGAGGUGAGAGGUACUUCAGGGGUAGGGGUGAAAUCUUGUAAUCCUUGAAGGACCACCAGUGGCGAAGGCGUCUCACCAGAACGGAUCUGACGGCAAGGGACGAAAGCUAGGGGCACGAACCGGAUUAGAUACCCGGGUAGUCCUAGCCGUAAACGAUACUCGCUAGGUGUCAGCCACGGUGCGACCGUGGUUGGUGCCGUAGGGAAGCCGUGAAGCGAGCCACCUGGGAAGUACGGCCGCAAGGCUGAAACUUAAAGGAAUUGGCGGGGGAGCACAAGGGCGAUUCGCG
Molecule: ribosomal RNA, 567 nt
Filed under: uncultured archaeon
Lineage: Archaea
Description: bacterial SSU rRNA
Rfam family: Archaeal small subunit ribosomal RNA
Source: RNAcentral